GCAUUGGUGGUUUAGUGGUAGAAUUCUCACCUUCCAUGUGGGAGACUGGGUUUGAUUCCCAACCAAUGCA
This 70-nucleotide transfer RNA is filed under the name Loxodonta africana (African savanna elephant). It matches the Rfam family "tRNA". From Rfam's summary of the family: Transfer RNA (tRNA) molecules are approximately 80 nucleotides in length. Lineage: Eukaryota; Metazoa; Chordata; Mammalia; Proboscidea; Elephantidae. The record is from Rfam by way of RNAcentral.